This 250-nucleotide ribosomal RNA is filed under the name uncultured prokaryote. Its description in RNAcentral is "partial 16S ribosomal RNA". It matches the Rfam family "Bacterial small subunit ribosomal RNA", at positions 524 to 773 of the family's 1533-position model. The record is from RNAcentral.
UACGUAGGGAGCGAGCGUUGUCCGGAAUUACUGGGUGUAAAGGGAGCGCAGGCGGGACUGCAAGUCAGAUGUGAAAUUUACGGGCUCAACCUGUAACGUGCAUUUGAAACUGUGGUUCUUGAGUGAAGUAGAGGUAAGCGGAAUUCCUGGUGUAGCGGUGAAAUGCGUAGAUAUCAGGAGGAACAUCGGUGGCGAAGGCGGCUUACUGGGCUUUAACUGACGCUGAGGCUCGAAAGCGUGGGGAGCAAAC